This 1413-nucleotide ribosomal RNA is filed under the name metagenome. RNAcentral describes it as "bacterial LSU rRNA". It matches the Rfam family "Bacterial large subunit ribosomal RNA", at positions 1486 to 2925 of the family's 2925-position model. The record is from RNAcentral.
CAUGAGCCGGGAAAGAAAAAACCGGUACAAGCGGGGUAGGAGUAAGGACAGCAAAUCUUCCUUACAAUCCGAAGACGUGAUGUGGACCGAACCAAAGUAGGGAAGCAUGUGAGCCAUGUGCCAAGAAAAGCCGCUAUAGUGAUACACAUACCCGUACCGUAAACCGACACAGGUGGAUGAGGAGAGAAUCCUAAGGCCGACGGAAGAAGCAUUGUUAAGGAACUCGGCAAAAUGACCCCGUAACUUCGGGAGAAGGGGUGCCCUGUGAAAGCAGGGCCGCAGAGAAUAGGCUCAAGCAACUGUUUAGCAAAAACACAGGUCUAUGCGAAACCGAAAGGUGAGGUAUAUGGGCUGACGCCUGCCCGAUGCUGGAAGGUUAAGAGGAGAAGUCAGGCAACGAAGCUUCGAAUUUAAGCCCCAGUAAACGGCGGCCGUAACGAUAACGGUCCUAAGGUAGCGAAAUUCCUUGUCGGGUAAGUUCCGACCCGCACGAAAGGCGUAAUGAUUUGAGCACUGUCUCGACAAUGCAUCCGGUGAAAUUGAAGUACCAGUGAAGAUGCUGGUUACCUGCGCCAGGACGGAAAGACCCCAUGGAGCUUUACUCCAGCUUGAUACUGGGAUUCGAUACUGUAUGUACAGGAUAGGUGGGAGACGUUGAGCAUAGAACGCCAGUUUUAUGUGAGUCGCUGUUGGGAUACCUCCCUUGCAGUAUUGGAUUUCUAACCUGCACCCAUGACCUGGGUGGGGGACAAUGUCUGGCGGGGAGUUUGACUGGGGCGGUCGCCUCCGAAAGGGUAUCGGAGGCGCUCAAAGGUUCCCUCAGAAUGGUUGGAAACCAUUCGAAGAGUGCAAAGGCAGAAGGGAGCUUGACUGUGACACCGACGGGUGGAACAGGUACGAAAGUAGGACUUAGUGAUCCGGUGGUAUAAAGUGGGAUUGCCAUCGCUCAACGGAUAAAAGCUACCCUGGAUAACAGGCUUAUCACUCCCAAGAGUUCACAUCGACGGAGUGGUUUGGCACCUCGAUGUCGGCUCAUCGCAUCCUGGGGCUGUAGCAGGUCCCAAGGGUUGGGCUGUUCGCCCAUUAAAGCGGUACGCGAGCUGGGUUCAGAACGUCGUGAGACAGUUCGGUCCCUAUCCGGCGCAGGCGGAGGAUAUUUGAGAGGAGCUGUCCUUAGUACGAGAGGACCGGGAUGGACGGACCACUGGUGUAUCUAUUGGCUAUCAGAGCCAUGGCAGAGUAGCCAAGUCCGGCAGGGAUAAACGCUGAAGGCAUCUAGGCGUGAAGCCCCCCUCAAGAUGAGAUAUCCCUCAGAAAUGAGUAAGACCCCUUGAAGACUACGAGGUAGAUAGGAAUGAGGUGUAAGCACAGCAAUGUGUUCAGCUGACAUUUACUAAUCGGUCGAGGGCUUGA